GGUAAGAUUGAGAGGGGCAAAUGGGUGAGCAGCAAUUGGGUUCCAUCACUUUCAGAGAGGUGCAGGAACGACUCCUGUGGAGUGCGGUCACACAAAAUCUUGCGCUAGAUUUAGUGUUUGGCAGCGUGGGUAAAAGCAGGAAUGGAUCUCCGUACGACCGCCCAAUCCCGUUGCAACUUUCCAUAUAAAUCCGUGCUUUCAUAGCAGCACUGAGCAAGGCUGUCGUUGAGCAGUCAAAUCACCCCACUUUCUUCUCUCUCUGCAACUGCACAGUGCACACACCUCUGGAAAUUUUAAGUCAAGUCACAUCACAGGAGACGGACAGCUGCCCUUGCUGCCAUUCAAUUAUAAUACCUCACUGAUUAAACUUGGCAAGUUUAACACCGCCUAAAAUGAGUCUAACUAUAGCCCUCACCCCAUAUAUAUAAUGGGAGGGCUUUCAAUGUUCUGGGCAUCCAUCCAUCUAUCUGCUCGCUAGGUAGAUAGAUAGAUAACUUUUUAUUUCUUUUGCCUUCCUUGCCCGUCUGUCGGCUAUUUUAUUCUUUUUUUUCUUUCUGCCCUUGCUUUGAAAAAGAGGGAGCCCGCACUUCCAUGGAUGCCAAAGGGGCAUUUACAGUUCUCUACUUAGUAGGAGACAAUCGGUGGGUUUCAGGGGUCUUAUGGAGGCAAGUGAGUGAAUUUCCAAGCGUAUGGAUGAGGUAUGUUGUUGGAAUAUAUUGGUAGAGCUCCUUUGAUACCAAUCAAAGGCUCUGUGCCAAAUUAAUUCAACUGCUGAUUUAUGCAUUUCACCAUCCUGCCCAUGUUCGUACAUUGCAUUGCAGGCUGGUGGUGUGCAUAACGCUGGAGUCGUGUUAAUUGUGUACUGCCCUUGUUUGGUUUGAAGGGAGCUCUACAGUAUUCCCUUUUCUUUGAUCAAAUUAGGGUUUAUAAGUAACUCCUAGUCACUGAAAUUUUCUUACCAGAGCAUUCAUUUAAUUGCGUACCAUUUUCUGUUUUGUUUAACAUAUGAUAGUAAUCAGUUUUUAUUAACAUAUGAUAACAGAUAAUAAAAAACAAAGUCUUUGUUAUUUUCAGUUCUGUACUUGCUCUCUCUACAUUCUUUUCUAAUGAUUCUUUACAAAAUCUGGAAUUAGUCUGUAAGCUAUCUUCUCCUAAUUAGAAGCGAAUCACACAAAUUAUAAUUUUUUUUUAUCAGCGAUAAUUAAGAAAUAAACAGAUUGGUUGGUGUAGAAGGGGCCUCAAGUUUUGGGUGGAGAUACAAUGGUAUUUAUAAGGAGGAGAACUCUAUAUCUGCGAUUCUGCAGUAUAUGUCUGAUCUAUUUAACUUGAAAAAUUAGAAUUGAUAUGGAUCAGAGGUCUAAUAUUGAUUUGAGAUAUGGAUCAGAGGUCUAAUAUUGAUUUGAGAUCAGAGAUCAAACAAAUGAAUGGCAAAUUUUUAAUGAAGUCGAUGAGACUAAAUGAUCAAAGGGAUCAAAAGGAAAGUCUCUCAGGCAAAAGUCAUUUUGUUAUGAUGCAUAGCAGACUUCAUUAUGGUUCCGAGCAAAAUCUUAAAAAGGUCCACAAGUCUCUAAUACAAGCAAAAAGGUUAACAUUUGGUACAAUCAUUGUGAAUCUGUAGGUAUAUAGGUGAUACCUUACAAUAGUUACAAGGAGUUAAAUGAUGUCCUUAAAAAGUUUUACAAGGAGGUAAAUGAUGUCCUUAUUUGAAUUACAAGAUGCGAAGAAAUAUUUUAAAAUAUAAAAUCAUAAAUGUACUUUAGUUCUCAUACCACCUCUUCCAUGAUUUUGUCGAUAAAUAUGUCAACAAGUGUAGGGACAUUGCUUUACAAAAUCUUUCAUGUAAUAUCCAUUUGUUAUUGAACAUGAUCUAUUGAAAGUGUUUUUAUUUCAAGCCAAUUUAAAGAAAAUAGAUAGCAGUUUGCCUAAGUUCGUUUGAAGUAUCCCUUAACAUGCCUUGGAAUGGUCUUAAGGUUUUUUUAAGACACUUAAGUAUAUUUUGGGGGUUUAAUUCAAUAAUUCACAAAUCAUCAAUAGUACAAUGACUUCUUACUAUUUGUGCACUUAAGUAGAUAUUAUGUUGAUUUAGUGGGAUUUUAAAUUGGUAGUUUGAAAUGACAUCAUUAUAAUUUUAUAUUUUUAGUGGUAGUGAAUAUGUGGUAUUUGUAUAUAUUAAUUUUUUUUGUUUGUUUUAUGUGAGAUCUAGGGGAAGAGGCCAAUAGACUUUGUAGUUAAUUUUGUGCAUUUCAAGUUCCUAAAUGAUUUAUUUAAUUUUGAUGAUUCAUGUUUGGUUGGCCUUGUAUAUUGUUUUGGUGGUUGGGUAGUUAUGAUUGGGAGAUUCAUUAUGCAUGCAAGGAUAAAAAAUGGUCAUUUUGAGUAGAUAACCUAUAUAUUCUCUUUUGCCUUUUAAUCGUUUGUGAUUUGACCACCACAAAAUUUGCACAAUUGAUCUAAUAUAUAUGUACAAAUACUUGGAUAAUUGUGCAUAAGUACCAAUAAAGUUGUACAAUUGAUCUAAUAUCGAACAAUUUGUUUUGACAAUUGAGUAUUCAAAAGGAUGGCUAUUGGCCCACUAGAUGAUCUUUUUAGUGAGCUUUUAAUUAGUGAAAUGUAAUGAACGAUAAUUGGAACAUGGGUGGAAAUUGGAUCAUUGCCUAUAUCUUUAGAAUGAUUUAAUAUAUUUUUGUAGUGUUAUUAGAAUAAACUAAGUAAUUGCAAAAUUGAUAAAAAUUAUAAGAAUAUAAUAAUUACGAAUAUGAUUAAAUUCCCUUUGUGAAUAAUUACACAUAUAUUGCUAUACACACUCUUAUGGGGAUGUGGCUAAUUUGGCUCCAAAAUUGUUGACUAAUUUGUGUUAUACAUAGUCGAAAAAUGAAAGAUAUAAAGAUAUAGCUAGUUUUGUUGAGCAUGGUCGAGAUUUGUAAUUUUUGACUUGUGUGUUAUGCGGAAAUCAUGGCGUUUUUAGAGCCAGAUUAGCUACAACCUCUUAUGGUACUAUACUUGUUAAACUUUCAUUUAGGGUUUGUUAUGAGAUUUGUUUGUUUUUGUGGUAUUCCAUUUGUUAAACCUUCCCUUAGAGUUUUUUUUAUGAGAUCUCUAUGUUUACAAUAGAGUAGGAUGUUUUUAAAAGGCUUACUACAAUGAAUAAGUAGUUACAAAAGUUUCAAAGAAAAUAAUUAUUUUGAAUACAAUUAAACAUCUAGCAUAAUUAAAAAAAAAAAACUUAGCUUAUUUUUAGUAUUGAUUUGAAAUAUUAAUUGCUCUAGUAUAUGCGCACAUUUGAAAAAUUACUCCUUUAAAGUGAGCAUCAUUUUUUGGGCUAAUAUAUAAGACAAACAUGAAAUGAAUUAUUAUUAUAGAAAUAAUUGUUUGAUUAAAUAUUUUGAGUAUAUCUCAUAUAGAAUAAUUAUACAAUUAAUGUUUAUGAUUUAGUGUUGAUAUAGAUUGUAUGUGUAUUAUAUUUCAAUUUUUAUUUUUUAGUCUUGUAAUUUAUAUAUAUUUUAAAAUUAAAAUUAGAUAAGAAUUGAAUUGUGAAAAUAUUAUGCAAGUAAAUAAUAAUAUCUUACUAAUAAUGUGAUCGAAGUGAAUUGAUUGAUAAGGGAAGUCAUCUUGAUGAGUUUAAAAUGAUGCAUAUAAAAAGAAAAUUUGAUUUUGAGUGAUUUUAAUAAACAUUAUUUAUUUAUAAGUGUAAUAAGUGCAAAAAUUUCAAAACAAUUUUGAGUCUUUUUGGAAGUGGGAUGAUUUAUGAUGAAUGAGGAGUAAAUGUUGGUUAAAAUAUCUUAUGGUCUUUAAUGUGUAUUUGUAAUUAAGAAGGAAUAAAAAUUUGGAUGUUUCAUGGUUCUAGGUAAAAUUAACAUUAUAUGUAAAAGUAACUAUGUUAUUCUCUUCACAAUGACCAAGCUUGGCGAGAUUUUAUAUGUUUUCUAAAUAGUGGGAGAUUUAAAUUUUGGGCUAAGGGUUUAGCUUGUAGCUAACGAGUUUAUAAAGUUGAAAUGAUCAUGAGUAGGGUUAGUUUCUUGGAUUUAGAAGAGUUUAAAACAAAAUUUAAGAUUUUGUUUUUUGAACUUACAAAAACUCUGUGACAAACAAUGUAAGAUUAAACAAAUGAAAUACAUUGUUACAUGAUGGAUCAUAUAUAUAUAUAUAUAUAUAUAUAUACUAUUUCAUUAGAAAUUUAGUUUUAAUAAAUGACACUGAGAAAAGUCUAUGAUAUACAAAGUAAGAUUAAACAAAUUAAAUACAUUGUUAUGCAAUUAGAGAAAAUUCAAAGGAAGGAUGUAUCAUCCUACUUAAAUCUUUAGUAACCCUAGUAACGAGAAAUAAUGGCAAGACCUAAUUAAGGAAAUUUGUCACUUUUAGGUUUGUCAAACUAUUUGAUUACAUACUAAUUCAUAAAAAAAAAAUUAUAUUAGAAAUCGAGAGAAUCUAGAACAAGGAGGCCAGGCCUCAACAAAACAAAGCUGUCACCGCCACAGGACAGCCAACACCAAAGUAACAAUAGGGUGCGUAAUCCGCACAAAAGAGUACUAACAAGCUAAUUGCAUCAUGAGAAAUCAACAAAAGCAUCAAGAGAGGGUGUCGUCAUGGGGUUCAAUCCAUGCCACCCAUCCCUGAGGUCCUUCCAUCCAAACAAUGGUCUUUUGACUCUGAAUUUGUGCUAGCAUCUCAACUUGGGCAGAGUAGGGCUUCCUGUUAUCUUUAAUUUCGUUGUUCAGCUUCUUGAGAGCCUCCUCAAAGGAGGGUAGGUCGUCUUCGUUGCGCCUCCAUUCAUAACCAUCCUUCAUCUCAUUGAUGAACAUGGUGGCAUGACCAUCCUUGAGGAACCUCAGGAGCUUGUGCCUCUCAACAUUCAUAGUAGAGGCAACUUGCAUGGCAAUUUUAAAGAAUGUGAGUCUUCGAAAGGAUUCAGUAAGGGCCCUGGCUUGGCCUUCAAACCUAUCAGCAUUCCUAAUUUUCCAAAUAUACCAAAGAAUAUUGGCAGAUAAAUUAAACAAAAAGACAUUAGCAUCCUUUUUCAAUCCUUUAAUGUGCAUAGAAAUAAUUUCCAGAGUAUUCACAAGAUUAGGGAUAGAAAAGCCAAACAUUAACUAGAUUUCUUUAGCAAUGGAGCAAUCAAAGAAAAUAUGCGUGUCAGUCUCACGGAGUUUACAAAUAGAGCACAAAUCAUUAUUGUCAUAAUUCCUUCGAAGAGGAAUUCUAUUAAGUAUCAUAAGCCAUUUAAAGCACUUGAUUUUUGGCUCGAUCGAACUUUUCCAUAGCAUGUUGAAGGUCUUUUGCCACUGCAUAACAGGCAGAUCAGAAUACCAUAAGAUGUUAACAUGUUUAAUGAUGGAAGCCUCAUAAGCUAGGACAGAGUAAAUGUUACGAGCCUUGAUUUUAGCCAAAAUAGUACCAUUAGCGCAUUUAAAAGAUAAAAAUCUAUGAGAAUCGACAUCACAAUCUUUAGGAAGACCAAAAUCAAUACAAGCUUGCUUAAUCAUGUUGUAGGUUAAAUUUUGAGUAGGGGGGAGGUUAAAUUUUGAGUUGAGAUCUUCCCAUGUGAUAAGAGUAUCAUGAUCCAAAAUGUCUAUAAGGAUCUUACCAUGAGGAUCUCUCGCCAUGAGUCAGGUUACCAUUGUUGACACUAGUGUUGACCAAAAACCCCCUACCAUGUUCCCAGACUUUCCAAAUAGACUUGAACACACAAGUGCCCUGGAUAGAAACAGGAAAACCACCACCCACAAGGUUCGUGAGAGGUAAGCCCUUCCAAGACUUAGCAUUCUUAGGGACAACCCUCUCAAUAUUGUGUCUGAUUAAUACCUUCCAAGGUUCCUGACCUUCUAGAGAAUGGAUGAUCCAUUUAGCCGCAAGGGCAAUACCUUGUAUCCUAAGAUCCUUUAAUCCAAGGCCACCAAGAGAUUUCUCAGUAUGUCACCACUUCCAGUUAACUGCGUGUAAUUUGUUACUACCUUUGCCAUCAGACCAAAUGAAGCGUCUAACAGCGUUUUGAAUUUCUAAUAUCUGAUAGUUGCUAAACAUCCAAGUAGAGGAGUAGUAGAUAUUAUAGGAAGAGAGGAUUUUUUGGCACACUUGAACCUUGCCAGAUAGGGAGAGGAAUCUAUUGUUCCAUUUACUAAGUUUCUUAUCAAUUUUCUCCUUAACCCAAAGCCACAUAUCUUUGAGGGAAGGGGACACCGAGAAAGGAACUCCAAGGUAUCUAACGAUUUUGUUAGGACCGCCCCAUUGGUAGCCAAGUUGUCCAAACCAGUCAGGGGGGUGAUCCAUCCAGCUAAGGAAGGUAGACUUGGUCUGGGAGAUCCGAGCUCCUGAAAUUGCCUCAAAGCAUUGGAUUUUAAGGUUAAGGUUAUCCAUGUUUUGCUUGGUGAGCUCAAGAAAAAGAGUUGUGUCAUUGGCAAACUGAAUAUUCAUCAAUUCAUUAUCAUCAGGGAGCCUAACCCCAUUAACCUUUGGGGAGAGGGAGUUAUCCCUAAGGAGGUAGAAUAAAGCAUCAGAAGCAAUAACAAAGAGAGCAGGGGCCAAGGUGCAUCCCUGUCUAAUGGACCGAGAGAGCAUAAUGGAAGAGGAGAGGGAGCCAUUAACAUCAAUCUGAGCAGAGACAUCUUGAAGGAGGACCUUGACAUAAGUACAAAAUUCACUAGGAAAUCCAAAGGCUUCAAGCAUCGUAAUAAUAGAGUCCCAUUCCACCCUAUCAUAGGUUUUCUUAAAGUCAAGGAGGAACAUAGCAGUGUCUUGACCAAAAACUUUAGACCAUUCCAUGGCUUCCCAACUUGUGAUGAGAUUUUCCAGAACAUAGCUACCUUUAAUGAAGCUGGUUUGGGUGGGGUAGAUAAACUUGGGCAGGAUCUUUUCCAGUCGGACGGCCAACAUUUUAGCCAGGAUCUUAUAGGACACAUUGAGAAGGGUAAUGGGUCUCCAGUUCUUAACGAGGGCCUUGUCACCAUCCUUGGGUAUGAGUUUAAUAAUGCCCUUAUUGAUAACAUUCCCAGGGGAACCCUUACCCAAUGCCUCAUUAUAUAUGUCAAGAAGAUCAAAGCAAAUCUAGUUAAUGUUGGCUUUGUAAACUUAUUUGGGAGCCCAUUAGGCUCGAAAGCUUUGUCAUUGUGGGGGGAGUUGAUGGCUUUAUGAGUUUCAUCAAUUGUGAAAUUUUGUUUAAGGAGGCAAGAUUCUCCCUCGGAGAUCCUACAGGGAAUGAUGGAUUUGCAUUUAAGUUUGAGGGCCUUGGCAGCCUCAGAGUCUUCAGAGGUAAAAAGUUUUUGGUAGAAGAGGGUAAAGGCUUCUUUAAUGUUGUCCAAAUCAACAAUCUCUUGAUUAUCAACAAUAAGUCUAUCAAUCUUUUCUCGGUUUUGCUUAUGUUUAAGCCGAUUAUCGCCAAAUUGGAGCCAAUGGCUAUGGGCUCUAAUCAUGGCCCCCUUGAUCUUAACUUGCUGAUGUAAUCUAAGGGCAUCCCUAGUUUUCGCCACUUGGUUGGCAAGGUCAGGGCAGGAAGGAGUCAAUUGAAUUUCAUUUUCAAGGUGAAGCAGAUUAAGAUUAAGAGUCUUUUCCACAAAUCUGGAGUCUUUGGUCCUUUUUUGACCAAUAGUUUGCAGGAGUUUUUGCCAGGAAACAACAUUAUAAUUCCACCUAUCAAUAUGCGAAGCUAAGUUCUUAUUAUCCUUAUUUAGGAGUCUGAUGAGGUUAAUGGCAGCAAGAACAUCAAGAUCUUUCAGUAAAUUAGUGUUAAGAAUGAACUUCUUAGGCCCCACCACAUUAGCAGGUAAGGAGUUAGCAAGUUUGAUGUGAGCAGUAAUAGGGUGGUGAUCCGAGAGUAAAAGGCCAGACAACAACAGAAUUGCCAUGGUUACUAGGGAUAAAUGAAAAAACAUCUUUAUUGGCAUAAAAAGGGUCAAGUCUACAAUAAAUUUUAUUACAACCUUUUUGGAAAUUGCACCAAGUGUUCUAGAGACCCCUUGUAUCAGCAUUAUUACCAAAAAGAGGAUCAAACAAGGUUUUCUUAAAUUUCAUUCUAUCCCAAUUGGAUUUUUCAGAGCCUUUCCAUUCAUUAAAAAAUCAUAAAAAUUUUAGUGUAAAUAUAUGACACUUAGAAAAGUCUGUGCCACAUAAUGCAAGGCUAAUAAACAAAUGAAUAAAUUGUUAUGCAAUUAUAGCAAUUCCAAAUUAAGGGUGGAUCAUCCCUACUAAUUGGGAGGUCUUCACCAUCACAAUGCACUCACAUCUAGAAUGAAACUUUUUCUUUUGAUUUUUUCAUCUUCAGCAAUUGUAGUAACAAGAGAAAUAAUAAGAAGAUCGAAUUAAGAUAACUCCUCAUUUUUAGGUUUGUCAAAUUAUUUGAAUUGAAGGUGGAAAGUAGAAAAAAGUGUAAUCAUAUAACUAAAAAUUUGAACAUUCAAAUAAAUAAAUAAAAGAUUAUUUUAAAAUUGAUCUAUUAUUGUAAUCUCAAACAAUAAAUUCUAAUGAUAGACAUAUUAGCCUUCAAAAAUAUAAUAAAUUUAAAAUACAUAAUUAUUUAAAAUCUUUAAAUUGACAUAUUAAAGAUAAAAUUAUUAAUCAAAACCCUAAAUUUUGUUUUGUUAAAACUGUAAGUAAUUAACCUUACCCAUAAACAGACAAGUCUACAUUCUAAACUUCAAUAAUGAAAUCUUUAUCAUACCAACUAUGAUUAAGUGAUUACAUCAUCUAAUAUUCUAGCCUUUAUUACAAUAAACAUAAAAAAAUCACAGUAGAUUUAAAUAUAAAUUAAAAAAAUGCUCUGUCUUGCCAUGGAAAAGAUGAAGGUUUUUGGAUUUGACGUUAAUUGCUAUUUAAUCUGCACUUCCUAUCAUAAUCUACUACGACAAAUUCCACAUCUAUUCAAUGAAGAUAAUUUAAACAGUAAUCAAACUGUACCAUCAAAAUAUAAAAAAUAUUAAAUAACAAUACAUAAAUUAAUCAACAAUGAAGUUUGGUAAAUGUCAUAAAAAAAACCAUGUACUCGAGGACAAAUACUGUAAUGCAUAAUGGGAAGAUUUCGGAUCUGAUUCGAUCCAAGUAAAAAUUUCCCCUUGCUAUCAUGGCUGCCUCUGUCUAUUCCAAUCUUAAUUGCACAAAACCCAAAAUAUUCGAAAGUGAAUUGACAAGACCCACCAGACUGAUUUGAUUAAAUGGAAUGAGGUUUUUCCACUUGGUCUGCAGAAUCAGAGAUGUAAUAACUCAUUAGGUUGGGGAAAAUGAAGAGAGAACAUCUCGAAGUCUAUCAAGUUUCAGUUGUUACUGGUGGGGAAUUCAACCAUUAAGAUCAAACAAUGUAGUGAAAGUAAUGAUUGUUGUUAGUCUUUUAUUUGUUGUUGGAAUGUUCAUUCAGUUAUUGAUUAUUUCAAGAUUAAUCCAUCUUUGAUUCAAGUAUGAUUUAUUUUUUAAUAUAUUUUAAAAUUAACUUUAUAAGGUCCAAAAGGAGACUCUUCACUCAUUUUCGAAUCAGGAAUGUAAUAAUUCACUGUGAUGGGAAAAUGGAAGAGAAAACAUCCAGAAGAUUAUUAUUUGUUGUUCGGGAUGUUCUAUCACUGACCUAUUGAAUACUAAAGAUCGAUUUAUCUUUGAUUCAAGUGUGACUUUUUUCUCAAUAUAUUCUAAAUUAAACUUACAAGAUCUAAAUGAGGCUCUUCAACUUGUUUUGCAAAUUAGAGAUGUAAUAACUCACCAAGUUAGGGAAAAUGGAAGAGAAAACAUCCAGAAGGUUAUCUUUCUAUCUAGAAAGAUACAGUUGUUAUUGGUGGAGAAUUCAAUUAUUAAGAUUUAAAAAAUGUAUUGAAAGUAGCCAUUGUUGUUAGUCUUUUAUUUGUCGUUGGGAUGUUCUAUCACUAAAAUAUUUGAUUACUUCAAGAUCAAUCUAUCUUUGAUUCAAGUAUGACUUAUUUCUCAAUAUAUUCUAAAAUGUACUUACAAGAUCCGAAAGGAGCCUCUUCAACUUGUUUUGCAAAUCAGAGAUGUAAUAACUCAUUGAUUUGGAGGAAAUGGAAGAGAGAAGGCCUGGAAGAUUAUCUCUCUAUCUAGAAAGAUCCAAUCGCCUUUGCACGGAAGGGGGGAAGGGCCUGAGAUUAGGUUUUCGAGAUCUGAAGAUGCAAGUGAAAUGAUUGAAUGGUUGUCGGUGUGGGAUUAAUGAACAUGGUCUUGCAGUUUUUGUUUGUCGGAGUCUGACCUACCUACCCUUGGAUAAGAUGUCUGACCCAGUCAUCCCGCAAAAUGCGGGUAACCAUGAUUUAGCAUCAUUGUAUUGAGGUAGAGUUGAAUUUAAUGAAAAAAUUGUUAAAUAACCUUUACGUACGUCUACUAGAGAAGGCUUACCUGUAAGAAGAUCUUGAAUUCGGGCUUGAUGGAGCCCAGUUAUGCCUGGGACAGGCGCUGUGCUUAAGCCCAGAAUUACCUAGAUCUUAUGCAAAACCUAGAAAUGCAAGUGCAUUCUUCAAUUUAAUCAAUUUAAUCAAAUCAGUGAAUAGCAAAAUUUUAUCUAUAAAAUAGAUUAUUUCAAAUUUCGAUAUUUUUGAGUUGGUGUAAUGGUGAAGAAUUUGUAUUCUUGAAAGACGGUCACAAAUUCAAAUCUUGUAAAGUAGGGUAUUCCAUGUCUCGUUUGUACCAUAGUUAGGUGCUUCUUGCAUGGAGUAUGCAGCAGUCUUAGACAUUAUGAGUCACAUGUAGACCCAAAAAUAGAUUGCUCAGUAUCA
Long non-coding RNA from Cryptomeria japonica (Japanese cedar), 10691 nucleotides. RefSeq lists it as uncharacterized. The record is from RefSeq and is a predicted model, not a curated record. Lineage: Eukaryota; Viridiplantae; Streptophyta; Pinopsida; Cupressales; Cupressaceae. The transcript has 3 exons.